UACGAAGGGGGCUAGCGUUGUUCGGAAUUACUAGGCGUAAAGGGCGCGUAGGCGGUGUGUCAAGUCAGGCGUGAAAGCCCCGGGCUCAACCUGGGAACCGCGCUUGAGACUGGCACGCUCGAGUUCGGGAGAGGAUGGUGGAAUUCCCAGUGUAGAGGUGAAAUUCGUAGAUAUUGGGAAGAACACCGAUGGCGAAGGCAGCCAUCUGGACCGACACUGACGCUGAGGCGCGAAAGCGUGGGGAGCAAACAGGG
Molecule: ribosomal RNA, 254 nt
Filed under: uncultured bacterium
Lineage: Bacteria
Description: partial 16S ribosomal RNA
Rfam family: Bacterial small subunit ribosomal RNA
Source: RNAcentral